GCCCCCGUCGUCUAGUGGCCUAGGACGCCGCCCUUUCAAGGCGGAGAUCAGGGGUUCGAAUCCCCUCGGGGGCAC
Molecule: transfer RNA, 75 nt
Filed under: Thermoflexus sp.
Lineage: Bacteria; Bacillati; Chloroflexota; Thermoflexia; Thermoflexales; Thermoflexaceae
Also listed under: 1 other name
Description: tRNA-Glu
Rfam family: tRNA
About the family: Transfer RNA (tRNA) molecules are approximately 80 nucleotides in length. Their secondary structure includes four short double-helical elements and three loops (D, anti-codon, and T loops).
Source: RNAcentral